RNAcentral lists this ribosomal RNA (253 nucleotides) under uncultured bacterium. RNAcentral's name for it is "partial 16S ribosomal RNA". It matches the Rfam family "Bacterial small subunit ribosomal RNA", at positions 524 to 776 of the family's 1533-position model. The record is from RNAcentral.
UACGGAGGGUGCAAGCGUUAUCCGGAUUCACUGGGUUUAAAGGGUGCGUAGGCGGACAGGUAAGUCCGUGGUGAAAUCCUGCAGCUUAACUGCAGAACUGCCAUGGAUACUAUCUAUCUUGAAUGUCGUGGAGGUUAGCGGAAUAUGUCAUGUAGCGGUGAAAUGCUUAGAUAUGACAUAGAACACCCAUUGCGAAGGCAGCUAACUACGCGAUAAUUGACGCUGAUGCACGAAAGCGUGGGGAGCAAACAGG